AGGCGCUUCUCUGAAGGAUGGAAAAAUCGAUGCCCACAGAAGAGCGGGUGCAGGGCAGUGUGCUCCUGUGCCGUGAUGGGGCGCAGUUUCACCGUAUCUGAUGGCUGCGCCAGGGGUCAUCUCGUCCGAUGGUCGAGGCCCUGCACGGGGCCUGGGGUCAGAAUCUUGGUCCAUUGGCUCUGUGACCUCAGGUCCAUUGUCCAAUUCCCUUUUGGGUAUUAGUGAUGAAAGAAAACAUUUGCCAACUUAAGCAGUCUUUCAGCUAAACUAUUUUUCAAGCCUAAAAUCAAGACAGUUCAAAGACUGAGAAACUACCACUCACAGAGCUUUGCUGAAAGAACCAAUGAAAGAUUGCCUAAAGAAGAAGGAAACCAAGCCCUAUAUCAGGGUAAUAUUCAGCCUGGAACGACGGGAAUCCUGAGAAGACAAGGAUUCUGGCCUCACUCCAGAGUCGUCGUGCAGGGCUGUGGGCUAGACCGAGUGGGCCACGGGGCUCGGGUGGCCCCUCCUCAAGUGCCUAGCACAUGCCUGACACACCCAGUGUCCCCCUGCCCCCCACAGCUCCCGGGAACAGGACCACCACCAUGGGGGCUGGUAUAAUGAGUGCCACUUUGCAGCCAAGGGAACUAGUGGCUCUUGGAGGGCAUGCCCUCCAACUGGAGUGUCCUCAACCACCUUUUCCACUCAGGAAGAUCCUUCUAGACUCAGCUUCUAAGAGGCCUCCACUACGAGGACUUUUCUAAUAGCCCCCAAGGUGGCUGCAUUGUCCAAGCCUGGGAUCUGCCUGGGCUCACACUUGCCAGCUGGAUGAACUUGGAUGGAUACCUGCCUCUAUGGGCCCCAGCUUCUCACAUGCGAAAUGGGGACAGUAUUGCUAACAAGUGCAUGAGGCUGUUGCACAGACAAACAGGAACGGGGUAGAGCAGACAGUGCAUGCUGAAUAAACUGGCUGUCAUUAUUAUCUGCCCCAUGCCUCCAGCAGAGUGGGUCCCCCUUUGCCCUGCAGCUCACUGCCUGCUGCACCCAAGCACAGCCUUGUGAAGUUACUGCUGCCCAAGAGAGGUUUGGUGGAGGAUGAAAGACUCAGAAUCCUCGACUAAUUCUACUUGGAAGGAUCCUCAGAAAAUAGGGAACACAGCCCCCUUAUUUUGACCAAAGGCCAGAGAGCUAGAGGGCCUUGCCCGAGGUCACACAACUCACUGUGGAACUAGAUCCCAGGCUUCAGCUCCCUACCCUGUGCCUUGUCUGCAACCCCAGAAGGCCCAGAGGAAACCCCAAACCAACAUUAGAGAAAAGGCGGUGGGAUGUAUUUGAAUGGCUCAGGCUGCAAGUGACCAGCAUGGAGGGUCAGCACCACUGGCAGGUGCUGCUGAGCUCACCCAUUGUACAGAUGGGAGACCUGAGGUUGGUGAGGUGCAUGGGGCCUGGGCCCCAGAGACUGCUCAAAGCCCAGCCGUUCCUCCUGGUAGCUAGAGAAUCUUGGGUGGUUUACGUCUCCCAGCCCCACUGUCUUCAUCUGCAAAAUAGGAGUGAGAACACUUCCACCAGGGACAAGCUCAAGCAUGGAGAACCCUGGACCACAAUGUGCACGUAGACCCACUCCCCUCCUUCAACACCUGACAACCACUCACCAGCAUACUUCCACCCGUCCUUUUGUUGCAGGGAGUGGGAGUGUGUGUCAAGAGACCCUUCCAGCUGGUGACCCUGAGGACGCUGCCUGAGGAUUCCUCCAUUAUUAACGAACAUGCUUCCCUCUCCCCAGCUCUCUGGAGCUUACAUGUCAGGCUCAGAAAUAGCUUAAGGGGAGGGCCUGGCAUCCAACUUUGGGUCUAGGCAACUGUGCCAUCCAGCUGGCUUCUCUGGGACUCAGUUUCCCCACACCUGGAGGAGAGGAGACACAAAGGGAGCAGGUGAUACAACACAAACCCAGGACUGUUUCUGGGGGUCAGGUGCUGUCAAGGGCGGGGUCAUCUCUAGUCCAGGUUCCGGCUCACAGAAAGCAUGCCCGAGCAAGGAAAUUCUGUUGAGCUUGUUAAAUGGCCAGUGACCCUCCCAGGUCCGUCGGUGACCUCCAGGGGCUUCCAGUCUCAGGGCCUCCAUUUUCCAUCUGUGAAUUAAAGGGGUGGAGGGCGAGUGAUGCAGGCAGGGGCUGCCUGCACCCGGGAGACCCCAGCCUGGGAGGUGUGCAGGGACCUACUCCCUUAGGGACACUGGGUUAGGAGGGGAGGGGGGAGGAGAACUCCAUCUCAUUCCACACCCCCAGCUCCUAACUCCUGCUCUGUGGACCUGACUGCUCCACCAAUUGAUUAAUCGAUUGGUUAGCGGAUUGACCGAGUCCCCGCCGCGGAACCGCCUCCAGGUGGGCCUCCCAGGAAGCCCCCUUCUGCCCUCGUAGCCCCGCCGCCACCAGUCUCCGAAACCCCCUCUCAGGUGCGCUUAGCAGCGGGCAGGGGGCGUGUCCGGGGCGUGUCCGGGGGCGUGGCUCCCUCUGUGCCCCGCCCCCGGGGUCGGCGCGUUAAUCCGCCGCGGCUCAGCCAAUCAGCCGCCGGUUGCCGGGGCAACGACCUCUCCCAUCGGAGCCUUCAAAGUGUUCCCCCUCCCUCCGCGAGGGCUCCACGCGAGCCCGCGGCCUCCGACCCCGGGAGGGGCGGGCGGGGGCUGGGCUCCCUCGGCGGGAGAGACCCCCCACGGGCGGAGACCCGGAGAGAGACACAGAGACUGGCAGGGCUGGAGACGCGCGCAAGCCGGGGGAGACUUGGGUCGCGGACCCAGGUGGAGAAAAUAGAGACGCGGCCGCGAAGGCGCGCCCCCGCCCCCACCCCAGUCUCCGAGGCCGAGAGGGCGAGCCCGGGAGAGACAGUCCCAGCCAGGGACAGAGACAGCUGGAGAGAUCGUGGGAGAGACCGAGACAGCGCAGGCAGGGGGGAGGUGGAGGCCGCCCCCCGCAAAGCAGAGACCAGGGCCAGCAAGGGGGAGAGCGUCGGGAGGGGGCGAACUUGUGAAAAUAAAUAUUU
Molecule: long non-coding RNA, 3014 nt
Organism: Canis lupus familiaris (dog)
Lineage: Eukaryota; Metazoa; Chordata; Mammalia; Carnivora; Canidae
Exons: 6
Source: RefSeq, a predicted model, not a curated record